This 205-nucleotide unclassified non-coding RNA is filed under the name Hevea brasiliensis (rubber tree). Lineage: Eukaryota; Viridiplantae; Streptophyta; Magnoliopsida; Malpighiales; Euphorbiaceae. The record is from RNAcentral.
ACUCCAUAAACUGAGCCGAUCUCCCCUUUGUUGGAUCCUUCAGGAGCUAUAGCAGGUAAGUGCCAAGAAAACGGUGGAGAGAAUACAGGUUUGGCUGUUUGCUCAGUUGUUUGAUCACCUUUAUUUAUGUGGAGGUGGCGGAAACUAGAGAGCUGGCUAAGAGCAAGUAUGAUCAACAGGACCAGAAAUGCGAGUCUUGGACUUG